This is a non-coding RNA of Pelobates cultripes (western spadefoot toad), 546 nucleotides long. Lineage: Eukaryota; Metazoa; Chordata; Amphibia; Anura; Pelobatidae. The record is from the annotation of a GenBank genome assembly.
GAAAUGAUUAAAAUGUAUAAGUCGUAUAUUUUCUAUAACUGGCAAACUUUUAAAUUGUAUAACACUGUCUUAUGCCAGACUUGCUUACUAUGUGGACUUAUACUUAAUAUGUGCACGGCAAAUGUCAAGCUUGCUAGCGCAUGUAUAACAGCAAUGGGUUAUUCCUCCCUAUCCCUAAUUAUACAGGAAACUAAUAAAUAGAAAAAGUAUCAAUACCCACGUUUCUUUUCCUGUACAAUCCCUAUAGGACAAACUGUUAUUUUCUGAUUAUUUCAAAUGUUUCUUUUUGACUUACCUAAGGGUUGUUACACGCUGCCCCACUGGAGUUCAGCCUCUCUUCCUUGGGAUUAUUCAGAACACGGCCCUGUGCAAAGAUUCCCCCUUUUAAAAAAAAAAUGUUUAUUCUUUAUUUUUACUGUGCAUAAAAUAACAGAAGAGCUUGCGAUGCCAUAACAGCAAGUGCGGGCACAAUCAUAUCAACAGAGCAAAACAUAAACAUGGCAUUAAUAUAACAGCACAAUUUUUAAUGAUAUAUGAAGAAUCAGG